Molecule: ribosomal RNA, 227 nt
Filed under: uncultured bacterium
Lineage: Bacteria
Description: partial 16S ribosomal RNA
Rfam family: Bacterial small subunit ribosomal RNA
Source: RNAcentral
UGGGAGUACACUAGUAAUAGGUGNCUAAUACCGCAUAAGCGCACAGCUUCGCAUGAAGCAGUGUGGAAAACAAAAAGCUAAAGCUUUUGGUGGUAUACGAUGGAUCCGCGUCUGAUUAGCUGGUUGGCGGGGUAAGCCCACCAAGGCGACGAUCAGUAGCCGGCCUGAGAGGGUGAACGGCCACAUUGGGACUGAGACACGGCCCAAACUCCUACGGAAGGCAGCAG